This is a non-coding RNA of Podarcis lilfordi (Lilford's wall lizard), 72 nucleotides long. The record is from the annotation of a GenBank genome assembly. Lineage: Eukaryota; Metazoa; Chordata; Lepidosauria; Squamata; Lacertidae.
GAGGCUACAGUUCAGUGGUCAACCACCUGCUUUGCAUGCAGGAGGUCCUCGGUUCAAUCCCUGGUAUCUUCA